UUCCAGACUCCUACGGGAGGCAGCAGUGAGGAAUAUUGGUCAAUGGGCUUACGCCUGAACCAGCCAAGUCGCGUGAGGGAAGACGGUCCUAUGGAUUGUAAACCUCCUUUGCCGGGGAGCAAAAAGCGGUACGUGUACCGCAUCGAGAGUACCCGGAGAAAAAGCAUCGGCUAACUCCGUGCCAGCAGCCGCGGUAAUACGGAGGAUGCGAGCGUUAUCCGGAUUUAUUGGGUUUAAAGGGUGCGUAGGCGGGAUGCCAAGUCAGCGGUAAAAAUGCGGUGCUCAACGCCGUCGAGCCGUUGAAACUGGCGUUCUUGAGUGGGCGAGAAGUAUGCGGAAUGCGUGGUGUAGCGGUGAAAUGCAUAGAUAUCACGCAGAACUCCGAUUGCGAAGGCAGCAUACCGGCGCCCAACUGACGCUGAAGCACGAAAGCGUGGGUAUCGAACAGGAUUAGAUACCCCAGUA
RNAcentral lists this ribosomal RNA (465 nucleotides) under uncultured bacterium. RNAcentral's name for it is "bacterial SSU rRNA". It matches the Rfam family "Bacterial small subunit ribosomal RNA", at positions 329 to 792 of the family's 1533-position model. The record is from RNAcentral.